This is a long non-coding RNA of Myotis myotis, 1885 nucleotides long. RefSeq lists it as uncharacterized. The record is from RefSeq and is a predicted model, not a curated record. The transcript is spliced from 3 exons. Lineage: Eukaryota; Metazoa; Chordata; Mammalia; Chiroptera; Vespertilionidae.
UUUAGCCGGUGCGGGAGGGAGGUGGGUCUUGGAGCCGCGCAGAGGGGUGGGGGUGGCCGCCACUUGACAAGGCGCACUAAUGAGCAGCACUGGACACGUUUACGAGGGUAGAAUCGUACUUACGUGGCCAUUUAAAACAACAACAACAACGCACAACCCGGGCUGCGCGAAAGGAAGGGUCUCAUCAGCCAGGGAUGUCUGCCUGGCCCUGGGCGCCAGCCCCCGGGCAAUGGGGAAGGCAGGCCUGGGCGGGCUCGCUGACCCCUGGUUUCCCGCAGCACCAGGGCUCUGAGGUGCUCUGAAGGGCCCCGUCGCGCCGUUCCUGUAGGGCAGCCUGGCCUUGCCCCUCUGCUGCUGUCUGCAGCGAGGAUACCUUUGCCUGCGGACCCCUUGCCCUCCAACUCCUAGCCUGCCAUUGUGGGCCCCACUUGUUUCCCCUUCUCCUUGCCCUCAUCUCCUCUCCACACUGGGCUCUCGGGAGGCCAUUCUCUCCUCCCAGAGCGAUCAGUGUAAAUGGCACCACCUCUGUGCAGGCAUUUGGAGCCAUCAUCCUGGCUGAGGACACCACCAUUUCCCAUCCGGACGACUGACCAGGAGCUCUCUGAGUCUGUCUCAUCCAGUCCACUCUCCAUGCAGCACCAAGGAGCCGGCCCAGCCUCUUCGCCUGUCUCUGGCCUUCCUGCGCAGCCCAUCAGUUCUCUGAGCCAUCACAUCCGUUUCCAUCUUGGGAUCUCUGCACAGGCCGUUCCUACCACUGGGGAUGCUCUGCUCCCUUCUCACUGCUGGCUCCUUUUCCUGGGGCUCAGCUUCAAGCAAUAGGCCUCUGCCCGCUCCCCCAUGUCCCCCUUCUCUCUAGCUAAGCCCUUGCUCUGGGUUAGUCACAGCACUUAGCACCACUCAACAUUAUUCCACACGUGUGUGCAUUUAUUCAGCGGGCGUCUUCACCACUAGUAUGUCAGCUCCUGAGCACAGGGACCAUGGCUGUUUUGUUUGUUGCUGUAUCCCUGUGCCUCACACAGGCCUGGCCCUCAGUAGAGGGUAGUACAUGUGUUCAGUGGGUAGAUGUGUGAUCCAAAUGAAGAUGAGCUGCCUCCAAGUCACUACAUUUCUCGUAGAAUCCACACUCUACCCCAGACCUGCCCAGCCUCUUCACCUGUCUCUGGCUCAUAGCCCCACCCUUCCCUGGACAAGAGCUGCCCCCCACCCUGUUCCGACAGAACAACAAAAGAACCCAGCACAGCUAUUCUCUUCCUUGCCUUUCGCCCCCUCCUGGAUGUCCCUCUCUUUCACCCCAGUGUAAGUCAGCAUAGCCUCACAGCUUCUCCACCUCCCCUCUGCCUCACACCAUUACCUGAGCAGCCCAACCGGAACAGGAGAUAGACACCAAAGCUCUCUGGAUGGCCAGGAAAGGAAGCUGUGAUUAUGCAGUCUUGUCUGCCCCGACCCCUACGUCUGUAGAGUCUUAUGGCCUUGAGGUCUUUGGAGCAAGGCCCUGGGGAGAGGGAGACAGACUCUUUAGGUCUCUCUGUCUCUCUCUCUCUCUGUCUCUCUCUCUCUCUCUCUGUCUCUCUCUCUCUCGCACGCACGCGCGCGCUUGUCAAAAGUCGGAAUCUGCCCUUCUGAAGGGCUCAGACAACAGAAAGGAGGCUAGAGCAGGAGUCAGGAGGCCUGUUUCUAGUCUGUGAUCCAACACGGAUUCGCUGUGUGACUUUGUGUAAGUCCUCCCUGGCUCUGAGGCUGUUGGUGGCAUGAGAUGCUCACUGCGGUGCCCCGGCUUCCCUGUGCCCCUCAUCUGGCCGUAGCUCUGGAGAGGAGCUGUCAUUGGCUGUCUUUAUUUUUGUUAAUCCUCACCCGAGGAUAUUUUUUCCAUUGAUUUUUAGAGAGA